This 279-nucleotide ribosomal RNA is filed under the name uncultured bacterium. RNAcentral describes it as "partial 16S ribosomal RNA". It matches the Rfam family "Bacterial small subunit ribosomal RNA", at positions 76 to 354 of the family's 1533-position model. The record is from RNAcentral.
UUGCUUUCUCCGCCGGCGACCGGCGCACGGGUGAGUAACACGUAUGCAACCUGCCCCUGUCAGGGGGACAACCCGCCGAAAGGCGGGCUAAACCCGCGUACAUGCCACCGGGGCAUCCCGGAGGCAGGAAAGGCUUCGGCCGGACAGGGAUGGGCAUGCGGCGCAUUAGGCAGUAGGCGGGGUAACGGCCCACCUAACCGACGAUGCGUAGGGGUUCUGAGAGGAAGGUCCCCCACACCGGUACUGAGACACGGACCAGACUCCUACGGGAGGCAGCAG